AUGGCAUUCUAUUCAGAUCAUCAUGCUUAUGUGAGCAACACUACAAACAACACGGAAAGUAUUCAAGAACUGAUAGGUAAGAUUUCCCAUCGAUUAGAUGAUUUAGCUCGGCAGCAAGAAGUAGUUUUUGAGGAUAGGCCUAGUUCUUACGAUCCUUAUUCCAGAGGCCAUCCUUAUGUUGCUCCUACUUGCCAUAUUUGUGGAUUUCAGGGCCAUUCGCCCGCUGAAUGUCAGCGUGGCUACUCUCACACUCCAGAUUGUUUUGGCAUGAGCUUCGCUCAAGAGCAUAGCUCAUACCAAAAGAAUUACUCAUAUGGGUGGCCUGAAAACCCGAAUAUGUCAUAUAGGACCAACAACCCUGAGAUCUCAUCGUUUGCUUCUAGUAAUCAUAUGCAGGGAUUUAGGUAUGAAGAUGAGAGCAACAACUAUGCACCACAACAAUUUUAUUCACAUUCUACUCAUGUACCUCAGCACCAGGAGAUGUGUCCAAUGGAGUUAAAUGGUCCUCUAUUUGGUCAACCGACAACUCCAGCACCUGAUGAGUCAUUAGUGCAAUCUCAUGUGCAAGUGCCCACACAAGAUGAGUUCGAUGACAUAGACAAGCUCACACUUUUGAGUCUCGAGGUCACUUGGAGUGUUGAGGAUGAUCCUAUUAGGAAGGUUAUACUAGAGGAAAUGAAGAAGACCAAGAGUGGAAAAGAGCUAGUGGAAGAAGUAAGGAAUAUUGAGACGAACAUCAACGCUGGCAGCACUACUUCUUCAUAG
RNAcentral lists this ribosomal RNA (765 nucleotides) under Triticum aestivum (bread wheat). RNAcentral describes it as "partial small subunit ribosomal RNA". The record is from RNAcentral. Lineage: Eukaryota; Viridiplantae; Streptophyta; Magnoliopsida; Poales; Poaceae.